This 116-nucleotide transfer-messenger RNA is filed under the name Ghiorsea sp. RNAcentral's name for it is "partial transfer-messenger RNA". It matches the Rfam family "transfer-messenger RNA", at positions 254 to 374 of the family's 374-position model. Rfam says of the family: Bacterial tmRNA, also known as 10Sa RNA or SsrA, is named for its dual tRNA and mRNA-like properties. Its role is to liberate the mRNA from a stalled ribosome. To accomplish this part of the tmRNA is used as a reading frame that ends in a translation stop signal. The record is from RNAcentral. Lineage: Bacteria; Pseudomonadati; Pseudomonadota; Candidatius Mariprofundia; Mariprofundales.
CUUAUUGAAAUCCUUGUCCGUUUGGUUUUCUUUAAGUGCUAUUUAAACGGAACAAACAUGUAGAGCUUUUGGCUGAUGGUUUUUGGACGUGGGUUCGAAUCCCACCGCCUCCACCA